This 84-nucleotide transfer RNA is filed under the name Candidatus Moraniibacteriota bacterium. Its description in RNAcentral is "tRNA-Leu". It matches the Rfam family "tRNA". From Rfam's summary of the family: Transfer RNA (tRNA) molecules are approximately 80 nucleotides in length. Lineage: Bacteria; Candidatus Moraniibacteriota. The record is from RNAcentral.
GCCGCGGUGGUGGAAUUGGCAGACACGCUAGCCUUAGGAGCUAGUGAGAGUGAUCUCGUGUGGGUUCGACUCCCACCCGCGGCA